GGGUGCGUAACGCGUAAGCAACUUGCCCAUAGGAUGGGGAUAACGUCGAGAAAUCGGCGCUAAUACCCAAUAAUGCAGCGGCAUCGCAUGAUGAUGUUGUUAAAGGUCGCUUCGGUGGCGCCUAUGGAUGGGCUUGCGUCUGAUUAGUUAGUUGGCGAGGUAACGGCUCACCAAGACGACGAUCAGUAGCUGGUCUGAGAGGAUGAUCAGCCACACUGGAACUGAGACACGGUCCAGACUCCUACGGGAGGCAGCAGUGAGGAAUAUUGGGCAAUGCCCGCAAGGGUGACCCAGCAACGCCGCGUGGAGGACGACAGCCGUAAGGUUGUAAACUCCUGUUCGGGGGGACGAAUAACCGUCGUUUGCAAAGGCGACGGCUUGACGGUACCCUCAGAGAAAGCCCCGGCUAACUACGUGCCAGCAGCCGCGGUAAUACGUAGGGGGCAAACGUUGUCCGGAUUUACUGGGUGUAAAGGGCGCGCAGGCGGGUCGGUCAGUCAGAGGUGAAAGCCCACAGCUUAACUGUGGAACUGCCUUUGAUACUGCCGAUCUUGAGUGCGGGAGAGAGAAGCGGAAUUCCAGGUGUAGCGGUGAAAUACGUAGAUAUCUGGAAGAACACCGGUUGCGAAGGCGGCUUCUUGGACCGACACUGACGCUGAGGCGCGAAAGCGUGGGGAGCGAACAGGAUUAGAUACCCUGGUAGUCCACGCUGUAAACGAUGAAUGUUAGAUGUCGGGGGAUUUUUCCUUCGGCGUCAAAGUUAACGCAUUAAACAUUCCACCUGGGAAGUACGAUCGCAAGGUUGAAACUCAAAGGAAUUGACGGGGGCCCGCACAAGCAGUGGAGCAUGUGGUUUAAUUCGAUGCAACGCGAAGAACCUUACCUAGGCUUGAAAUGUGUUCGAUCGGUCGUGAAAGCGACCUUCCUUCGGGCGGACACACAGGUGCUGCAUGGCUGUCGUCAGCUCGUGCCGCGAGGUGUUGGGUUAA
Molecule: ribosomal RNA, 989 nt
Filed under: uncultured organism
Description: bacterial SSU rRNA
Rfam family: Bacterial small subunit ribosomal RNA
Source: RNAcentral